ACCAACCUGUGGUCCUUCAGAU
Molecule: microRNA, 22 nt
Filed under: Xenopus laevis (African clawed frog)
Lineage: Eukaryota; Metazoa; Chordata; Amphibia; Anura; Pipidae
Description: Xla-Novel-13-P2_5p (mature (guide))
Source: RNAcentral